This 491-nucleotide ribosomal RNA is filed under the name uncultured bacterium. Its description in RNAcentral is "partial 16S ribosomal RNA". It matches the Rfam family "Bacterial small subunit ribosomal RNA", at positions 29 to 506 of the family's 1533-position model. The record is from RNAcentral.
AGUGAACGCUGGCGGUAGGCCUAACACAUGCAAGUCGGACGGCAGCACAGUAAGAGCUUGCUCUUACGGGUGGCGAGUGGCGGACGGGUGAGGAAUACAUCGGAAUCUACUUUUUCGUGGGGGAUAACGUAGGGAAACUUACGCUAAUACCGCAUACGACCUACGGGUGAAAGCAGGGGAUCUUCGGACCUUGCGCGAUUGAAUGAGCCGAUGUCGGAUUAGCUAGUUGGCGGGGUAAAGGCCCACCAAGGCGACGAUCCGUAGCUGGUCUGAGAGGAUGAUCCGCCACACUGGAACUGAGACACGGUCCAGACCCCUACGGGAGGCAGCAGUGGGGAAUUUUGGACAAUGGGCGAAAGCCUGAUCCAGCCAACCCGCGUGGGUGAAGAAGGCCUUCGGGUUUUAAAGCCCUUUUUUUGGGAAAAAAAAGCAGCAGGUUAAUACCCCGCUGUUCUGACGGUACCCAAAGAAUAAGCACCGGCUAACUUCGU